Long non-coding RNA from Asparagus officinalis (garden asparagus), 2699 nucleotides. RefSeq lists it as uncharacterized. The record is from RefSeq and is a predicted model, not a curated record. The transcript has 2 exons. Lineage: Eukaryota; Viridiplantae; Streptophyta; Magnoliopsida; Asparagales; Asparagaceae.
CAAAGUGGACCUGUUGUGUGAAGAAUGCUGGAUAUGUAUUUUAUACAACAGGUAAGUAGGUUGUUUUUGUUCAAAGUGGACCUGUUGUGUGAAGAAUGCUGGAUAUGUAUUUUAUACAACAGGUAAGCAUCUGACGUAAAGUAUCUCAUAUGGAUAGCAUUCUUUAUUUUUUUUAGAGCUCAACGGUGUUGCAUUAUUUGUUAUCUGAUCUUUGAUGUUCCACAUUUACUUUUUCAAUUAUAUUUUGGCAGAGGUUCUGCAUGCCUUUUUAAUAUCCAAUUGCUAUUUUUUUUUUGGAUAUAGGUUCGAUAAUUAACAGUAAUAUUUCCCAUCCCCCUUUGUUGCUCAUAAUACGUUUUGGCAUAGCUUCUUUAUCAGGUUGCAAAUGUGGCAGCCCAAAACACCAAUUCUUAUCAGAAGAUGGAGCCACGUAAAAGGCUUCAAAGAUACAUACCUGCUAGUUUUUCCCACACCUAUGACACUAUGGAUCUUGACCUGGGAACCUUAUAUUGGAUGAGACAUCUCUGGAUUUUGGGUUUUAUUUCGAACACAUUCUUGGAUGUGAUUAUCAGUUGUUCGAUACUUCCUGGCAGAGGCUGGCUGUGCCUGAAGUUCUGAAUGAAGGAAAAGAAAUGCAAGGUGUAACUAUUUGGUUGUGUGGAGUUGAUUUUCUCUUGAGGGUGGGAUAUUUUUCGUGCUCGUUGGUAGGAAACGACAUCCAAAACGAAAGGUGACAGGUUGCAAAGGUGGUAGCAGCAUUUCGGGGAGAAAUGAAGAUUCUGUGCUAUGUGCGGAGUGGGCGAGAGGAGAGAAAGGAUCUUUAAUUUGAGCUUCAGCUCUUGCCUAUAAGAUGGAGCUCGAGUUGGCAUAGUAGAUGUGUAACAGGGAGCAGCAGCGCAGGUUACAUUCUUUUCUUUUUACCUUUAUUUGAAUUAAUAGUCAAUAUGUUCUCACUGUUCUAUGUUUUAUUAGUGUAUUAGUCUCUGUUGUAAGACAGUAAACACAACACAGUAAAUUUCUCUCAGAUUACUCUUCUAAUUAAGUGGAGUGAAUAAAGGAAACUGGGCCUCCGAUGAAUCUGCUAAUGGUUGAAAUCUUUCAUAUUCUUCCUAACCUGCACACUGAAACAACUCACUAGGCGGUGCCGGAAUGAUCCCGGGGGUUUGAGGUUCCGGUAUGCCCUCUGAUGCUUAAGUUAGAGCCUCUCCUAGGAUAGUAAAGAAUAGUACAUGCGGCAAAAAUCCUAGCAAUAGUUAGGGAUGUUAUCACUCUUCAUUCCUUUAUAUAUGAAACAUUAUACGGCUGUGAUUGAAGGAGAAAGAAAGUAGGGCAGUUUAUACUUGGACUGUUGUCCUUUAUUUCCAAAAAGAAUGUGACACUGAUGUCAGACACGUGUGUAGCGGAAUAUUCUUCUCUGGGUGACAGUUUUAUGACAAAGGAAAUCUGCUUGCAGCUAGCUCGGCCUUUGGGACUGAGCCUUCACCCGAGCUCUCUACUUGGAGUUAUCUCCCGAGCUCCUUUUAAGUGAAGUGGAAAUUGUUGUGGUUUACCUUGUCCAUUCACGUGUCAGUCACGUGUGAUGAUGACGUGGCAUGCAAAAUAUUUUCAUGGUAUAACGGUUUAUAUACCCUUUUUCAGGAUUUGUGGAAAAAAGCUGUCAUUUGUCAAUCGUCAUCAAGCGGAUGCUAGUUGUUUGGAUACCAAUUCUAUAGAGCUAAAUGCCUUCGGUAAGUCCAAUUUGCUAUAGAUGCGUAAAGGGUCUCCUUUAGAUUGAUUAACAAACAGUCACAACAGAGUCCUGAUGGUCUGACGUAUUUCGGUACCCCCAUAAACUUCCAAAUACCUAUACUACAAUCCUUACCCCUUGUGUUGAUGUAGCAGUAACUAUUUAAAAUUUGAAUAUUGAUUACGUUGAGUUUUCAGAAUUUAACUGGAUAAAGGUUAUUAGGAAUUGGGAUGUCAGGCAAACGAGUCAGUGUAGAAAAAUAUGUGGUUCGAGUAUAAAGCAUUGUUUCCGUUAACCUGAAGAUCGACUUAUUCAGGAGGUCGACUUAUUCUGUUAAUGGUUAAUGGUCCGACUAAAGAACAGAAAUAGAUUUUUGUGAGCAUGCAACGGUGCAAUGUUCCAAGCAUCUGCUAAACGCUGAAGCAAUCUCCCUUAAUGAGAAUCCAUCAUCAAACUAAACACCGAAGCGAUCUCCCUUUAAUUAGCUUGCCUUCCUUUUCUUCUGGCUUUCCCUAAAUUUCACGAGCCAAAGUCCCAUCAGUUGAUCUGGAAUAUGGAAGCUUGGAGAUUGUCACUGAAAAUGUGAAAGCUUCAUGAGCAAGAUGGAAGGUCGCGAUUGAUGCAUGGAAAAUGAAAUGACGCACUGAUCAAUGCUCAGCGCACAAAUAGGCAGUCUUGAUUGAACUUUUCAUUGCAAAGGCUAUAAAAGGGCGCGUGUGAGUGUUGAUUUAAGACAUCCUGUUGGAGAGAGGGAGAAUCAUCCUCUUGUGACUCUUUAAGCGUGGAUGUGCCCAGGUUCUUCGGGUGGUUCGUGGCGAGGGAGAUCAUCCGCUUUGGGCUCUUGACUGUGGGUGUAUUUGGGGUCUCGGUGCAAGGUGAGCGGAGGGUUUACAAGUUUGUUUUAAUCAGAACCUGUAACUGUUGUGGAUUAUGGUGAUUUUCCUUGCUGAGGAAUCAUGAAGAAAGGCUUGUA